Molecule: ribosomal RNA, 465 nt
Filed under: uncultured bacterium
Lineage: Bacteria
Description: partial 16S ribosomal RNA
Rfam family: Bacterial small subunit ribosomal RNA
Source: RNAcentral
GAUGAACGCUGGCGGCGUGCUUAACACAUGCAAGUCGAACGGAAAGGCUCCUGCUUGCAGGGGUACUCGAGUGGCGAACGGGUGAGUAACACGUGGGUGAUCUGCCCUGCACUUCGGGAUAAGCCUGGGAAACUGGGUCUAAUACCGGAUAGGACGAUGGUUUGGAUGCCAUUGUGGAAAGUUUUUCGGUGUGGGAUGAGCUCGCGGCCUAUCAGCUUGUUGGUGGGGUAAUGGCCUACCAAGGCGUCGACGGGUAGCCGGCCUGAGAGGGUGUACGGCCACAUUGGGACUGAGAUACGGCCCAGACUCCUACGGGAGGCAGCAGUGGGGAAUAUUGCACAAUGGGCGCAAGCCUGAUGCAGCGACGCCGCGUGGGGGAUGACGGCCUUCGGGUUGUAAACUCCUUUCGCUAGGGACGAAGCGCAAGUGACGGUACCUAGAGAAGAAGCACCGGCUAACUACGUG